Molecule: long non-coding RNA, 355 nt
Organism: Hyaena hyaena (striped hyena)
Lineage: Eukaryota; Metazoa; Chordata; Mammalia; Carnivora; Hyaenidae
Exons: 2
Source: RefSeq, a predicted model, not a curated record
CCCUGUCCCUGAGCCCCGAUGUGGCCCACCCCCUUCUCCCACCUCUGCUCCAUCCCACACAGCAAGGGACCUUCUCCAGUGAUGGGAACACGCACACACCAGGCUCUGUCCAGACCCCACAGCUGCUGCCCUUUGUCUGCCCGGAGCCACGGCGCACAGCCUAGAGGUAAAUUAAAGUCAUCAGUUCUGGGGGAAAUGAGACGGAAUGAAGACUCAGAGCCGCAGCCCCAAAGCCUCCGAGGCCCCUUCAGAAUCUCACAGAAGCCUGGGCUGCCCUUCUCACCCGCCUGUAAUUGAACCCCUUUUUCCUCAGGCAACACCAGACAAGUUAAAUUAAAAAACAUUUCUUAUUCCA